AUUUAUUCAUCUUUCUUUCACAUGCUCCCCGUUCUCUCUUUCUUCUUCCUUCACAAAUUUCAUUCUUCUAUCCUCCGGCUUAUUCCCCCUAAUGCCCUGAAGUCUCCAUCGCUCUGCAGCUUCUCCAACUCAACUUACCACGAUCAAAAUUUUACAUCCCUCCUCUGUGCUCUCACAUGCUUUCUGUUAGUUGAAAAAGCACCUCCCUAAGCCCUAGCUUUCAACAAAAUCCUCUCCAAACCUUCGCGAUCACGUGAGAAUGGCAACGGAGUCCUUUGGAGAUGCCAACGGCAAAUUGUGAGCCCCCCGGGAGGCGUUGUAAUGUGAGUGAUAGAGGCAGACUCUCAAGGGAGAACUCUCUCAAAUUCCGAAGGACAAACCCAACGGAAAAGAUAACUUUCCUUCUCUUUUCCCUUUUUAUUUUACUAUUUUAUUUGAUGUCUAAUGUGUUUUGAAGGUCAUGAUUUGAGUGCCGACAAGUUCUGGUAGUGAUGACUCUGGCUUAUUUGAUCGGGGUCUCGAUUUUCGAGUCAAGGGUUAGGAGCUCAGGUUUAGGGUUGGAGAUGGAUUAUGUAUCCUGGAGUGUGUGAACACUGUUGAGGUUUGGUUAGGGUAGGGACAGAAGCCGGAGGUUAAGGAUAGAAACGAGUUGACUCGUUUCUAACACAGUUAGUAAUACUCGGGUCGACUCGUGUGAGUCAACCCGGUGAGUCGAAUGGGCUCGGUGAACCUCGAGUCAGACUCGAGGGAGUGUGUUGGAUUUUGGCUAAGUGGAGCUAAAAUUGGGUUUGAUUCAAAACUGGAUGGGCCGGGUUGUUUUGAGUUAAGAAUGGGCUUCUAGUAUUAUUUAAAACAGAGGUGAGCUGGGUCAGUCUCAGUUGGGUUUGGGUUUGAUUUAAAACGCAGGAAGGCUUGGGAGUUGAAAUUUUUGAAAUGGGCUUGGUUUUCAAAAUGGGCUCUAUGUGGAUCUCGUGGAUUAUCUGGGAAAUGGGCUUUGGUUUUAAAAUCUGGAAAUGGGCUUCAGUGGGUUUUAAAACAGGUGCUGGGGGUAUUGAAUUGAAAGGUGGGCCUUGGAUUGAUUUUCAAAAUGGGCUUUGAGGGAUUUAAAUGGAUGGGCCUAGGUUGACUUCUUUUGAAACGAGGCCUCGGUUAAUUCCUAAAACGGGCUGGGGUUCAACCUUUCGAAAUGGGCUUGGCCCAGUGGAAUUCUAACAUGAGCUUGAGUUGACAACUAAACUGGCCCGAGGUUUAGUUUUUUAAAACAGGGUUGGGUUUGACUCGGGGGUAAACUUUUGAAUGGGCUUUGUUCACCACUGGGCCAGACCAAAACAGAGGAGCAUAGUGAAGUUAGAAAUGGAUAGGCGCGGUUAGGCUUCAAAGCUUGAAGAUGGGCUUGCUUUUGAAACAAAAGGGAGUCGGUGGGUUAUGCAGGAGUGUUUCGAACCCGAACCCAAGUUCGGAAGCCUGAAUCCGGAUUGAAGUGAGAACCUAAGACUCCCAGGGACACCUACACUUGCACUCGCACACAAUUCAUAUGUGAACUAAACAAAAUGGAAGUGAGAGUUACACUCUUACCUUUUCUUUCCACUCCACCUUUCUUCUUCUCCAGUCUGUCUGGGUUGUCUGUGCCUGCAUUCUGAGGUGGAAGGUUAUUUGCUCCAUCGCUCAGAAUCCUGAGGUUGAAUGUAGCUCUUGGUGCUCUGACCUCUUCACAGAGUCCCCUCCCUCUCUCUCUCAUUGGCUUUCUGAACUUUCUUUGCUCUCCCUUUUUAAAUAGGCAAGACCUCUCUACUCUUAAUUACUCUCUUUUCUCUUCUCAAUUUUUGCAGGGUUAUGCCCCAUUUCUUUCCUCUUGGUUUUUUUUUUCUCCUAAUUUCUGCAGAGCAUUUCUAUGCUCCCCGGCCCCUUCUCAAUCUCAGCAGGGUUUCUCCACUCCCUCUUUUCUAAUUUUCGCAGAAUUCUCUUACCUUCCCCGCCUUUUUUUAUGCUACGGUGAUGGGGGCUCCCCUUUUAUAGGGAGUCCGAGGGUGCAUUUGGCGCUGCAGAUGAGGAAUGGAGGGCUUUUUGAGUGCCCCCAGGUGGCGUCUCGGGAAUGGACGACCUGGUGGCUCUCAGUUUGUCCAGGUGGCGCUCAAAGAGAGGAGGGCUUUUGGGAGUUCCAGGUGGAGAGUGGGAAUUGGCGGGGGAUAUGAAGGUACUCCCAUAUGGCUGGCAGGGAUAGGCUCAACAUCUUUAUUUUGAUUUUGUAUUUCUUUCCUGAUGUAUGUGUACCGAUGUAUUCCUCCCAUGUUACCCUUUUGAUUAUUCUUUUAUGAUGUAUGUGUAUCAAUUUUGACCAUUUAUUUGACUAAUUUUGACCA
This is a long non-coding RNA of Malania oleifera, 2360 nucleotides long. RefSeq lists it as uncharacterized. Lineage: Eukaryota; Viridiplantae; Streptophyta; Magnoliopsida; Santalales; Ximeniaceae. The transcript is spliced from 2 exons. The record is from RefSeq and is a predicted model, not a curated record.